GACGAACGCUGGCGGCGUGCCUGACACAUGCAAGUCGGACGGUUCUUGCACCUUCAAGCUUGCUUGCUGGUGCAAGGAUAGUGGCGGACGGGUGAGUAACGCGUGAACAUCUACCCAUUGGAGGGGGACAACCCGUCGAAAGGCGGGCUAAUACCGCGUAAGCCGCGAGGUGAGAGGCUGCCUAUUGGUGGCCGCCGAUGGAUGGGUUCGCGUCCUAUCAGCUGGUUGGUGGGGUAACGGCCUACCAAGGCGAAGACGGGUAGCCGGUCUGAGAGGAUGGCCGGCCACACUGGAACUGAGACACGGUCCAGACUCCUACGGGAGGCAGCAGUGGGGAAUAUUGGGCAAUGGGGGAGACCCUGACCCAGCGACGCCGCGUGAGGGACGAAGGUUUUCGGAUCGUAAACCUCUGUUGUACGGGAAGAAGGAAUUGACGGUACCGUACGAGUAAGCCCCGGCAAACUACGUG
Molecule: ribosomal RNA, 469 nt
Filed under: uncultured bacterium
Lineage: Bacteria
Description: bacterial SSU rRNA
Rfam family: Bacterial small subunit ribosomal RNA
Source: RNAcentral